Long non-coding RNA from Aegilops tauschii subsp. strangulata, 1934 nucleotides. RefSeq lists it as uncharacterized. The record is from RefSeq and is a predicted model, not a curated record. Lineage: Eukaryota; Viridiplantae; Streptophyta; Magnoliopsida; Poales; Poaceae.
AGGGAAGAGAGAGGGGGAGAGGGAGAGGGAGGGACAGACGUCCGCACCGCCUUUCCCCUUCCACCUCCCACUCCGCCAUCCCCACCCCUGCCUCCACCCCCGUCCCGCUCUCGGUCUCCGCGCUCUGAUUCCGGCGCGCCUCGCCGGGUCGGAGGCCGCCAUCCCCACCCCUGCCUCCACCCGCAUCCCGCUCACGUUCCCCGCGCUCUGACGCCGGUGCGCCUCGCCGGGUCGGAGACCGCCAUCCCCACCCCUGCCUCCACCCGCAUCCCGCUCUCGGAUCCCGCGCUCUGACGCCGCGCGCCUCGCCGGAAUCGGAGGCUCAGGGAGGGAAGCUUGUCCGCGUGGCGUUCGUUCCUGCGGUUGUCUCGUUACUCGCCGACGGUCCAGGUAGGGCGGCGGCGAGCGACAGGACGACGCAGGCGUACGCCGACCACCAUCCCCCUCCGACCUUCCUCUCCGCCAUCCCCGCCCCUUCCUCCGCCCACCCCGCCCUCGGUCGCCGCGCGGCUCGCGGGAUUAGGGGCACAGGAGGGGAGGGAGCGCGUCCCUCUCGCGGGAUCCAAGGGCAGGGUCACAGGGAUUGACUGAACGGUGAUUAGAGAAGGGGUUUCCCAAGUGGCAGCUAUGAAGUACAUGUGGCAGAGCGUUGCUAGGGUAUUGCUACUACUGCUAGUCUCCAGUGGAUGGCUGGAAGUGGCCACAGCCCGUCCAGAUCAGUCCUUCCACAGUCUAAACCGCACUUUGACAGAGGAGUAUGGUGCCCAAUGCUACUCCAGCUCACUUUCUGUUCGGAUUUCACGAUAUUGUGACAUACUGGACGAGUCACCGAACAGUGAAUGUUGUGAUGCCAUCUUUGCAACCCUUGGGAGAAAGGAUUGCCUAUGCAAAGUUGUCAGAGAACCGAACUAUCGAUCAUCACCCAUAUCAGGGGGCGACUUUAUUGUUGAUCUUUACCGUUCUUGUGAUGGGGGCCCUUACAUAAGUCCAACGGCGGAAACUGAGUGUGAACAGCCAGGCAGGCAAGCCCCACCCACACGGCCGCCGCCCACACCGCCGUCGCCGCCCAGUGCAAGAACUGCAGAGGGUGACUUGAAAGGCCUUCUGUCCUUUUGGAGGAAGCUUGGAUGGGCAACUUCUUCGCUGCUGCUCCUGGGGCUCCUUAGUUUCAUUCUGUGGAACACCUUGACCCAGCUUGCUCAUGAUACUAGGGUCCGUGCAACAGGAUGGUUCGUAAGCAAUGCAACUAAUGGAGCAGAAACAGCAGGAGAUGCACGCCCCCCUCCCACAUGGAAUGUUAUCACAAACAACAUCUUCGUCUGCAACCUUGGCUUCUCCCAAAAACUCAAGGACCCAGGUGAAGCUAUGGCACCAGCUAAUGUGGAGCUUUCUGCUUCUGUAAGCCCUCAAGGUGGUACGCCCUUUACCAGCGGACAAGCAGAUUCGGUGGAAGAGAACCCAGAGUCAUCUUUGCUGCGAUAGGGAAGUGCUACUCUGCUGUUGAGAUUGAAGAUUUCUUCGACUCCAACUGUGUCCAUGUAGAAGAUUCAUUCAGUUAUCACAUUCGGAUGGCUCUCCUUGUUUCUGUGCUUGCUGUCGUCAUUCAGUCUACUGCCAACAUCAUCCCGGGCAAGGCUGUUCACGAUUGAACGGAUGUUGCUAAACCUCCCUAGUUACUGCUGCUCGUUUAUCGCUGUUAAUUCUCGCUCCUAAAUAACACGGCUGGGAUGUAGCCGGUGUGAAUCAUUAUCGAAUUUUCCAAUUGCUUGCCGUGUGGCUGCUACACAUGCACUCGUUAUAUGAGUAGUCCUGAUACUGUGCUUGUUGGUGGAUUGUGUCCUUAAGUUUUUGGUUAGUACUGGUAGAGUUGAGGUUGAGGUUGCAUAGUGAUUUGUUGAGAAAUGAUCAUGUUUGCUCAGUGUGUGAGCUGGAAA